This 968-nucleotide long non-coding RNA is filed under the name Musa acuminata (dwarf banana). RNAcentral's name for it is "long non-coding RNA (MACU_LNC001553)". The record is from RNAcentral. Lineage: Eukaryota; Viridiplantae; Streptophyta; Magnoliopsida; Zingiberales; Musaceae.
UUAGUGCCUUUGGAGGUUUUACAUUGUCAUCAAAGCACAGAGAGAACAUCAUGUCUUCUUAUAACCAAACCAUUACUGCAAGUCUCUAGAAAGAAAGAACAAAAAAAAACUAGUAGCCCAGCUAAAUGCAAUCCUAAAUGUUGAGACUUGUAGAGUGAAACCAAUAUCAGAUGAGUGUCAGAGUUGCAACAACUCAUGACACAGCCUAUUUGUACAAGAAACUAUGCCAUUACUUUAGCUCCAGGCUUGGUUUCUCCACUGGUAUUAAUUAACAUCACCCUGCAUCUGCAACACCAAUCCUCUCUCUCUCUCUCUCUCUCUCUCUCUCUCUCUGAAGUAUUUGGGCAUGCGCAACAAGCAUGCUUUGCUAAAUCAUCUCUUUUGCCUCUCAUCUCUGUCCACCAUGAGUUGCUGACAACCAAGAUCUGCCGCAUGCUGUUUUAAAUAGGCUCAAAUCAUGUCAUGAGUUGUUCUUUUGACAGUACUAAGCACAUAGGAUUAGGUAGCCCAAGUAUAAUAUGGAUUUCCUUGGUGGCUACACGCAUAGUUGUGGCCACGUCCACCAGUUGACCUUGUUACUCUCUUCCAUAACCCCCAAGAAAAGACGAUAUGACUCGUAGUUUUCCCCCUCAAAUGUGAUAGAUUUUUCACAGCAAGAAGAAAAGAUGUGCCUUUUAUUUUCGCCUAGAACUCGGAGGAUUGUCCAUUGCGCACAUCCACGAGAGAGCUUUGUUGAUGGAUAAAUGGGAAAGCUUUCGUCUUUUUGGCGGUGUUUCCUUCCGAACUUUGUCCUGUUUUCCUGCGCUACGAGAGAGGCAGGAAGGAUGAGUAAAAACAGAGAGGUAAAUGGGAGAAGGGUUAGAGUUGUUGGGCCUCUCGAUGGUGCUUUGGGCUACAAACCAGAGAGCCGCAGAGGAUCCUUGAUGCCGGUUGGUUCAAAGGAGGACGGCGACUGUAGAGCCUUGAUU